UUGAACGCUGGCGGCAUGCUUUACACAUGCAAGUCGAACGGUAACAGGCCUUCGGGUGCUGACGAGUGGCGAACGGGUGAGUAAUGCAUCGGAACGUACCCAGAGGUGGGGGAUAACGCAGCGAAAGCUGUGCUAAUACCGCAUGUGAUCUGAGGAUGAAAGAGGGGGACCGAGCAGCAAUGUUUGGCCUCGCGCCUUUGGAGCGGCCGAUGUCGGAUUAGCUAGUUGGUGGGGUAAAGGCCUACCAAGGCGACGAUCCGUAGCUGGUCUGAGAGGACGACCAGCCACACUGGGACUGAGACACGGCCCAGACUCCUACGGGAGGCAGCAGUGGGGAAUUUUGGACAAUGGGCGCAAGCCUGAUCCAGCAAUGCCGCGUGCGGGAAGAAGGCCUUCGGGUUGUAAACCGCUUUUGGCAGGAACGAAACGGUGUCCGCUAAUACCGGGCGCUAAUGACGGUACCUGCAGAAUAAGCACCGGCUAACUACGUG
RNAcentral lists this ribosomal RNA (491 nucleotides) under uncultured bacterium. Its description in RNAcentral is "partial 16S ribosomal RNA". It matches the Rfam family "Bacterial small subunit ribosomal RNA", at positions 29 to 507 of the family's 1533-position model. The record is from RNAcentral.